RNAcentral lists this ribosomal RNA (443 nucleotides) under uncultured bacterium. RNAcentral's name for it is "partial 16S ribosomal RNA". It matches the Rfam family "Bacterial small subunit ribosomal RNA", at positions 338 to 795 of the family's 1533-position model. The record is from RNAcentral.
CCUACGGGAGGCAGCAGUGGGGAAUAUUGGGCAAUGGGCGCAAGCCUGACCCAGCAACGCCGCGUGAAGGAAGAAGGCUUUCGGGUUGUAAACUUCUUUUCUGAGGGACGAAGAAAGUGACGGUACCUCAUGUAUAAGCCACGGCUAACUACGUGCAAGCAGCCGCGGUAAUACGUAGGUGGCAAGCGUUAUCCGGAUUUAUUGGGUGUAAAGGGCGUGUAGGCGGGAAAGCAAGUCAGAGGUGAAAACUCAGGGCUCAACCCUGAUACUGCAUUUGAAACUGUUUUUCUUGAGUGCUGGAGAGGCAAUUGGAAUUCCGUGUGUAGCGGUGAAAUGCGUAGAUAUACGGAGGAACACCAGUGGCGAAGGCGGAUUGCUGGACAGUAACUGACGCUGAGGCGCGAAAGCGUGGGUAUCGAACAGGAUUAGAUACCCCGGUAGUC